UCAUAGCUGAAAUUGCACCUAACAAUCUUCGAGGAAGACUAACUGCUAUAAACCAGUUAAUGAUCGUUACCGGAGUGUCUGUCUCCUUCGUCAUUGGGGUAGUAGCAGUAAGUUGGAGGGCUUUAGCAACAAUCGGUGAAUUUCUUAGACAACCUGUGUUUUUAAUUAGAAUAUCCACGUGAGGAAAGUUCCUAACUCUGCUGGGCUGAGCACUUGGUGAGAAGUCCAGAAAUCCUUCACAGUCAAAACAUCAAACACUUGGUCGACAACACCAUCCAAAAUUCAAAACCAUACCAAAACAAGGCAAAAAAAGAGAGAAAAUUUAUUGCAAUUAGUAGUUACCAAAGGAAUUGGGGCUGUUGAGCAGUGACGGAGGAGGUGGGCGCAGAGGAGCGCUAGAUUCUUCGGAGCUGUUGAGCUGUUAUGGAGGCGGUGGAAAUGUAUAGCCGCGCGGCUAUACUAUUUAAAAUAUUUUUUUAUUUAAGGGGUAUAGCCGAUGGGCCGUACUGUUUAAAUAUAUUUUUUUUGUUCAUGGGGUAUAGCCGCCCGGCUAUACGCUUUAAAUAUAUUUUUAAUCCUAAAAAUUCUAGGUAAACUGGGAUAGUUACUAUGAUGAUUUUAUCGUUUUAAUUUCAGUUACGUUUUUAUAUUUUCACAGGAUGUUUGUGAUCUUAGAACUCUGAGUUGUAUAUAUUAACUACGAUACAGUUGUAUAGUAAUCUCUUCUCCCCCUUGUAACCAAAAAAAGGAGGUAUUGGUAUA
Long non-coding RNA from Prunus persica (peach), 762 nucleotides. RefSeq lists it as uncharacterized. The record is from RefSeq and is a predicted model, not a curated record. The transcript has 2 exons. NCBI's taxonomy places the organism in Eukaryota, Viridiplantae, Streptophyta, Magnoliopsida, Rosales, Rosaceae.